Molecule: ribosomal RNA, 777 nt
Filed under: Triticum aestivum (bread wheat)
Lineage: Eukaryota; Viridiplantae; Streptophyta; Magnoliopsida; Poales; Poaceae
Description: partial small subunit ribosomal RNA
Source: RNAcentral
AUGAAGACACAUAUUCAGCAUUAUGUGAGGUGCUGCCCCACCUAUCAGCAAGCUAAACCUGAUCGAGCAGCUUACCCAGGAUUGCUAGAACCUCUUCCAAUUCCAAAAGAAUCAUGGGAAAUGAUCAGUAUGGACUUCAUCGACGGGCUGCCUCAAUCAGGAAGUGUCAACUGCAUUUUGGUCAUCGUGGAUAAGCUGACAAAAUUUGCUCAUUUCCUGCCUCUGGCACAUCCCUACACAGCUUCAAAAGUGGCUCUGCUGUAUAUGAACCAGGUCUACCGACUCCAUGGAUUUCCCGGUUCAAUCAUCUCUGAUCGCGACCCAGUUUUUACUAGCCACUUCUGGCAGGAACUAUUCAAGUAUGCAGGCACAGGGCUUCGCAUGAGCUCAGCCAACCACCCGCAGACGGACGGCCAAACCGAACGCGUCAACCAGUGUUUGGAAACCUUUCUCCGCUACUUCACACACGCCUGUCCUCGACGCUGGAGCUUUUGGAUCCCGCUAGCUCAAUUUUGGUACAAUUCAUCAUAUCAUUCAGCUAUUGGUAUGUCACCCUUCAGAGCUAUGUAUGGGCAUGAGCCACGUCAAUGGGGCAUUACUGCAACCAAUGCCUACUCAGUUCCAGCUUUGCGCUCGUGGCUCGAUGAACAUGCAGUGGUUCAGGAGUUACUGCAACAGCAUCUCCACCGUGCUCGGCAAUGCAUGAAACAGCAAGCAGAUAAGAAGAGGUCAGUCCGAACCUUCUCAGUGGGUGAUCAUGUAUACUUGAAGCUGUAG